Molecule: ribosomal RNA, 809 nt
Filed under: uncultured bacterium
Lineage: Bacteria
Description: bacterial SSU rRNA
Rfam family: Bacterial small subunit ribosomal RNA
Source: RNAcentral
GAAUUCGCCCUUAGAGUUUGAUCCUGGCUCAGGACGAACGCUGGCGGCGUGCUUAACACAUGCAAGUCGAGCGAAGUGCUUAGGAUGAUCUAUUCGUAGUGACUCCUAAGUAUCUUAGCGGCGGACGGGUGAGUAACGCGUGAGAAACCUGCCUUUCACAAAGGAAUAGCCUCGGGAAACUGGGAUUAAUACCUUAUGAUACCUUAACUCCACAUGGAGCCUAGGUUAAAGCGUAAAGCGGUGAAAGAUGGUCUCGCGUCCCAUUAGUUAGUUGGUGAGGUAAAGGCUCACCAAGACCAUGAUGGGUAACCGGCCUGAGAGGGUGAACGGUCACACUGGAACUGAGACACGGUCCAGACUCCUACGGGAGGCAGCAGUGGGGAAUAUUGCACAAUGGAGGAAACUCUGAUGCAGCGACGCCGCGUGAAUGAUGAAGGUCUUCGGAUCGUAAAAUUCUGUCCUAGGGGACGAUAAUGACGGUACCCUAGGAGGAAGCCCCGGCUAACUAUGUGCCAGCAGCCGCGGUAAUACAUAGGGGGCAAGCGUUGUCCGGAUUUAUUGGGCGUAAAGGGUACGCAGGCGGUCCUUUAAGUCAGAUGUGAAAUCUUACGGCUCAACCGUAAUUAGCAUUUGAAACUGGAGGACUUGAGUUAAGGAGAGGAAAGUGGAAUUCCUAGUGUAGCGGUGAAAUGCGUAGAUAUUAGGAGGAAUACCAGUGGCGAAGGCGACUUUCUGGACUUAUACUGACGCUGAGGUACGAAAGCGUGGGGAGCAAACAGGAUUAGAUACCCUGGUAGUCCACGCUGUAA